ACUGAGGAAUGAUGACAAGAAAAGGCCGAAUUGCAGUGUCUCUAUCAGCAGUUUGCUCUCUCUUUGGGCACACAAUGACAAAAUAUCCUGAAGCGAACCAAUAGUCUGACCUCAGU
This 116-nucleotide small nucleolar RNA is filed under the name Callithrix jacchus (white-tufted-ear marmoset). Its description in RNAcentral is "Small nucleolar RNA SNORD89 (ENSCJAG00000029203.3)". It matches the Rfam family "Small nucleolar RNA SNORD89". From Rfam's summary of the family: snoRNA HBII-289 belongs to the family of C/D snoRNAs. It is the human orthologue of the mouse MBII-289 and has no identified RNA target. Lineage: Eukaryota; Metazoa; Chordata; Mammalia; Primates; Cebidae. The record is from Rfam by way of RNAcentral.